UUAAAACAGUGAAACGCAUACUGGCGGUUUCAAUACUUCAUUUCUUUCUUUUGAUAAUCUCUACUAUGUUAGAAUUUUAUGAAUGAUGAUUAUACACAAAUGUCAUAAUGUUAUGAGGUGUAUAAUCUCUUAACAUGUUUUUAUAACAGAUUCGAGGUAAAUGUAGCAGCAGGGUAGAAAAGUCAGCAGAGAGAGAGGAUGAGCAGGUGAUCAGUGAGGAACAGGGAGAAGACAACAGACAGCAGCUCUUUCAGACAAACGGAUGAUUCAGAUCCAAUGUGAAAGUAGCAGCAGAUGAAACCAAUCAAAAGAAGGACGGGAAGAACAUCUGAUCAGUGAGGGACAGGGUGAGGACAAUAGUCAAACAGCAGUUUCAGAUGAGCAGAAUGAGCCUAAUGUUAGAGACAAACUGAGCACAGAAAACAGAGACAGAGAAGAUUCAGAAAUCAUCACUUGCUUAAAUCCUGCACAUCCUGAUCCCAAGUUUAUAAAAGUACAGACGAGAGCAAACUAUGUGCUACACUUUCAGCAAAAAUGGUUUCAGAUGUUCCCAUGACUGCAUUACUGUACCACAUUAAAAGGGGUUUUAUGCUUUUAUUGUGCAAAAGUCCUCUCAAAGAAGACAAUGCUUGUCUCUAAGAUGGAUCCUGUCUUUGUGAGUACUGGUUUUAGAAACUGGAAAAAGGAGUUGAAAAGUUUACAGCCCAUGCUAAAAGCCAAUCCCACUGCCAUGCAACAACUGUGUAUGCUCAGGAAACAAAGAGCAUAGUAUCACAGCUUUCCUCAGUUGUUUCUAGACAAAUGUCAAACAGUAAUGCUCCUAGUGCUCCAUCGCCAAUGGCUUGCACCAACAAUUUCUCAAAGGCCAGGUCUUGUGUUGGCAGGAGCUGUGACUGGAGAAUUGAAGUGUUUGAAUGCUUCUCUCCAAAGAAAGACACAGACUAUCUCUGGCAUGAAAGCUGCCAUUUCUUGUGUUCAGUCUGUCUUGAAAGACAAAAGAGAUGAAGUUGCCUUUCAAAGUCUUUUUGAGCAAAUGUGAUUGUGGAUUCUCUAAAUCUAGAGUCUAUCAAAGUUCCAGAACCAAGGUGACUUCCUAAGCGUUUUAGCACAGAUGCAAGCACAUACAAGCCAAAAACUGCAACAGAGUAUUACAGAGUUGAGUUUUAUCAGGUGCUUGAUGCGGUUUUCAUCAGGAAGAUCUGCUGACCUUACAGAAACUAGAGUACACUCUGCUCACUGGACAAACUGAUUCAGUGUGUUGUGAGUAUCCUGAGAUCAGUUCAGUUACCAAUGUUUAGGCAUAACUACCAAUUUGGAUCCAGUUUGGAGGCAGCAAACAUUCUUAAAGGUUUGUCAGUGGAAGUCCGUGGCCUUUUCAGUGAAGUGGAAACUCUGGUCAGGUUGCUUCUGGUUGUGUGUCAGGAAUCAGGACAGCAUUUAGUAAAAUUGAAAAUCAAUUGGGAAAUCUUUAGGAUAAGCAAUGCACAUGGAUUAUAUAAAACUAUACUGUCAGUACAUCAUAGUGAAAUGAAAUUGUUAAUGAAAAGUCUAUUCAGUGACUAACAUGGAGUGUCCAAAUAUAUUCACAG
Molecule: long non-coding RNA, 1589 nt
Organism: Carassius auratus (goldfish)
Lineage: Eukaryota; Metazoa; Chordata; Actinopteri; Cypriniformes; Cyprinidae
Exons: 5
Source: RefSeq, a predicted model, not a curated record